This 274-nucleotide ribosomal RNA is filed under the name uncultured bacterium. Its description in RNAcentral is "partial 16S ribosomal RNA". It matches the Rfam family "Bacterial small subunit ribosomal RNA", at positions 523 to 796 of the family's 1533-position model. The record is from RNAcentral.
CUACGGAGGGCGCGAACGUUGCUCGGAAUCAUCGGGCGUAAAGCGCACGUAGGCGGCCUGAUAAGUCGGAUGUGAAAGCCCACGGCUCAACCGUGGAAGUGCAUUCGAAACUGUCAGGCUUGAGUAUGGGAGAGGGUUGCGGAAUUCCCGGUGUAGAGGUGAAAUUCGUAGAUAUCGGGAGGAACACCAGCGGCGAAGGCGGCAGCCUGGACCAAUACUGACGCUGAGGUGCGAAAGCGUGGGGAGCAAACAGGAUUAGAAACCCUAGUAGUCC